Molecule: transfer RNA, 78 nt
Filed under: Mesorhizobium sp.
Lineage: Bacteria; Pseudomonadati; Pseudomonadota; Alphaproteobacteria; Hyphomicrobiales; Phyllobacteriaceae
Description: tRNA-Ala
Rfam family: tRNA
About the family: Transfer RNA (tRNA) molecules are approximately 80 nucleotides in length. Their secondary structure includes four short double-helical elements and three loops (D, anti-codon, and T loops).
Source: RNAcentral
GCCGCCUUAGCACAGCUGGUUGAUUAGUACCUUUGCAAGCUAUUGGGUCGGGGGUUCGAGUCCCCUCAGGCGGCACCG